Numida meleagris (helmeted guineafowl) is the source of this 578-nucleotide long non-coding RNA. RefSeq lists it as uncharacterized. The record is from RefSeq and is a predicted model, not a curated record. The transcript is spliced from 3 exons. NCBI's taxonomy places the organism in Eukaryota, Metazoa, Chordata, Aves, Galliformes, Numididae.
CAGCAGAACUUCGGCUUUCUGCUGGACCUGCAGGGCACUCUGGUGCGUCUUCUGUAAGGAAGUGGCAUGAAAGAGGGACUGCGCAUGACGAGAGGAGAGAGAGCAGGUAUUACUGUUCCUGUGGGAAAUGCAACAAAGAUUUAGAGGAAAAGAAAACGGGUUAUCAUAUGGCAAUCUUUCUUGGCUGGCAGUUUGUAUAAUCCAUCAGACAAGAAAGCUACAUUAUUGCCUACUACCUGGCACCAAAAGCUGAAGUUAAAAAAGAUGGCUAGAUCUGGGGAAGACUUGAGACGAUACAAUCAGGGUACACCAAGUCCCUUUGGCAACAACUUCCAUUUGGGCUGACGUUUUCAAAACCUGCUGAAAAUUUUAGCCAUGUUCAAAACUCUACUCCAGUUUCCAGGAACUCUGUGACACACUGAACUGGGAGAAAGUGAGUUUUUCAGCAUCCCUCAAAUGACUGACUUCUAUCUUCUUUUGGGCACAUCCACCUGGAAAGCAAAUCUAAUGCCAAAAGAAUAAUGGUGGAUGAAUAAAAGGCACAUGAAAAGAUUUCCAAAUACAUGUAAAGAACAACC